GAUCCUGGCUCAGGAUGAACGCUGGCGGCGUGCUUAAUACAUGCAAGUCGAACGAAGAUAUUUCGCUGAUGCGAUUCGUCAAAUCUUGAAAUAUCUUAGUGGCGGACGGGUGAGUAACGCGUGGGUAACCUGCCUUACACAGGGGGAUAACAGUUAGAAAUGACUGCUAAUACCGCAUAAGCGCACGAGAUCGCAUGAUCAAGUGUGAAAAGAUUUAUCGGUGUAGGAUGGACCCGCGUCUGAUUAGCUAGUUGGUGAGGUAACGGCCCACCCAAGGCGACGAUCAGUAGCCGGCCUGAGAGGGUGAACGGCCACAUUGGGACUGAGACACGGCCCAAACUCCUACGGGAGGCAGCAGUAGGGAAUAUUGGACAAUGGGGGAAACCCUGAUCCCAGCGACGCCGCGUGAGUGAAGAAGUAUUUCGGUACGUAAAGCUCUAUCAGCAGGGAAGAAAAUGACGGUACCUGACUAAGAAGCACCGGCUAAAUACGUGCCAGCAGCCGC
This 505-nucleotide ribosomal RNA is filed under the name uncultured bacterium. RNAcentral describes it as "bacterial SSU rRNA". It matches the Rfam family "Bacterial small subunit ribosomal RNA", at positions 15 to 518 of the family's 1533-position model. The record is from RNAcentral.